RNAcentral lists this long non-coding RNA (1154 nucleotides) under Homo sapiens (human). Its description in RNAcentral is "HSALNT0038749". The record is from RNAcentral. Lineage: Eukaryota; Metazoa; Chordata; Mammalia; Primates; Hominidae.
CUUUCUUGCUGAUACCAAUAAUAAUCUUUUUAUUACAGUCUUAACAAGAGUCAUGCCAGUCAGUGAGGUUCUAAGGAUGGGAGUGGUGGGAGCAGUCCAGGCUGCAGGAAGGAACAUUUUGUCACUGGCAUUGUUUAGAAUUGCUGGUGCAUGCAUGCUGGUAAUAAAAAGCAGACCAACUUUCAGUGUCAGGCUGCCCUAACGAAGUACCAUGGACUGGGUGGCUUAAGCGAUAGACAUUUCUUUCUCACAGCUGUGGAGGUUGGAAGUCGAAGGUCAAGGUGUUGGCAGGGCUGGUUUCUCCUGAGGCCCCUCUUCUUGGCUUGUGGAUGCCCCCUUCUUGCCGUGCCUUCAUGUGGCCUUUUCUCUGAGCCCAUGCAUCCCUGGUGUCUCUGUGUAUCCAAAUUUCCUCUUAUAAGGACACCAGUCACACUGGAUUAGCGUCCACUCAAAUGACCUCAUUUUAACUUAAUCAUCCUUAAAGGCCUUACCUCCAAAUACGGCCCCAUUUUGAGAUACUGGGGGUUCAGGCUUCAACAUAGGAAUUAGAGGGGACACAAGGCAACCCAUCACAAUCACCAAGCCUCAGUGUCCAUGGGGGUGAAAUAUACUCUGCUGCUGUUGGGCACCGCAGAGCCACGCGGCAGGAGAGAGUACAGAAUUGACAGCAACAAUCCACCUAUCAAAGUGAGGUGCUAUCUCCAUUUUUAUAGAUAAAGAAACGGGCCCAAAGACCAGCCCCAGGCCAUACCACAUAUCUAGGAAGCCGCAUCAAGGGGUGCCUUAACGCCAACGCCUCAGACAAAUCCAGGUCUCUUUGCUGCCCUGGAGCGUGGCUGCUCCACCUUUUUCUUGUUCUCAACCCCCAGGCUCUGGACCUGUCUCUGUCCUCAGGACCAUGCACGUGGAAAUUCUGCUGCCGGAGCUGCCAGCCCAUAACUUUUGGGAUAAACUCUCCCAUCAGGUGUCCAGUGACAGCUGCCAGUGGGUGCCAGGCUAACAGGGUAUUUGUGUUCCAGGUCAUCUGGCGUAACUUGCUCCUUUCCCACCCCAGGACUGUCAUCUCAGGGAGCCUGUUCUGGUGACUUCUGGAAAGGCCUGGACUCCUUUGUUCCAUGGAGUCAUCAGGUUUUGUGGGUUCUCUACUGCUGUUC